UAAGGAAUAUUGGUCAAUGGACGCAAGUCUGAACCAGCCAUGCCGCGUGAAGGAUUAAGGUACUCUGGAUUGUAAACUUCUUUUAUCUGGGACGAAAAAAGGCGAUUCUUCGUCACUUGACGGUACCAGAUGAAUAAGCACCGGCUAACUCCGUGCCAGCAGCCGCGGUAAUACGGAGGGUGCAAGCGUUAUCCGGAUUCACUGGGUUUAAAGGGUGCGUAGGCGGGCAGGUAAGUCAGUGGUGAAAUCCUAGAGCUUAACUCUAGAACUGCCAUUGAUACUAUCUGUCUUGAAUAUUGUGGAGGUAAGCGGAAUAUGUCAUGUAGCGGUGAAAUGCUUAGAUAUGACAUAGAACACCUAUUGCGAAGGCAGCUUACUACGCAUAUAUUGACGCUGAGGCACGAAAGCGUGGGGAUCAAACA
RNAcentral lists this ribosomal RNA (422 nucleotides) under uncultured bacterium. Its description in RNAcentral is "bacterial SSU rRNA". It matches the Rfam family "Bacterial small subunit ribosomal RNA", at positions 355 to 774 of the family's 1533-position model. The record is from RNAcentral.